RNAcentral lists this ribosomal RNA (253 nucleotides) under uncultured bacterium. Its description in RNAcentral is "partial 16S ribosomal RNA". It matches the Rfam family "Bacterial small subunit ribosomal RNA", at positions 524 to 776 of the family's 1533-position model. The record is from RNAcentral.
UACAGAGGUCUCAAGCGGUGUUCGGAUUCAUUGGGCGUAAAGGGUGUGUAGGUGGCGCCGUAAGUCGGGUGUGAAAUUUCGGAGCUUAACUCCGAAACUGCAUUCGAUACUGCGGUGCUUGAGGACUGGAGAGGAGACUGGAAUUCAUGGUGUAGCAGUGAAAUGCGUAGAGAUCAUGAGGAAGACCAGUGGCGAAGGCGGGUCUCUGGACAGUUCCUGACACUGAGACACGAAGGCCAGGGGAGCAAACGGG